Molecule: unclassified non-coding RNA, 844 nt
Filed under: Bradyrhizobium sp.
Lineage: Bacteria; Pseudomonadati; Pseudomonadota; Alphaproteobacteria; Hyphomicrobiales; Nitrobacteraceae
Description: partial 16S-23S ribosomal RNA intergenic spacer
Rfam family: Bacterial large subunit ribosomal RNA (bases 723-844)
Source: RNAcentral
UCGGAUCGUUUUAGAAACAUCAGUGGCCAACAGAUCGCCAGAUCGUUGAGCUGCAUUGGCGGGAUUUCGCCGUCUUCGUUUCUCUUUCUUCGCGGACGAACACGCGCUGGGCCUGCAACGGCAGGAUCCAGGGUCCUUAACGGGAUGUGCGUUAGGGGCUUGUAGCUCAGUUGGUUAGAGCGCGCGCUUGAUAAGCGUGAGGUCGGAAGUUCAAGUCUUCCCAGGCCCACCACUUUCAUCGAGUGAGCAUUCGUCUUCUGGUUACGGGGCCAUAGCUCAGCUGGGAGAGCGCGUGCUUUGCAAGCAUGAGGUCGUCGGUUCGAUCCCGUCUGGCUCCACCAGAUGGUUUGAUCACCGAGAUCUUGACCGUCGUCCGCGAAACAUCACUUCGCAUCCUGCUAGUCUGGAUAGACAGCAGUUUGCGUGUUUUCUGACAUCGUAAAGAGGAGAUCGAUCCGAGUUGGGUCGUGCAGCAUAUCGUUGCGCGAGCCUUCAUUAUCUCCGGAUCAUUUCGGCGCUCGCUUCCAGCCGUGAGGUUGGAUGCGGGUUGUAAAUGAUCCUUUUAGCGAAGCUUGACCGCCUCGCUAUCGGAACGAUCUUACGAAGCAAGCUGGUCUUUCUAGUCAAUGUCCGGCUGCGGAUAGCGUUCAUCGAGGGCGCGUGCCGCAAGGCAAUUCUGCAGACAACAUUCUGCCGAGUGUGUGGACAUUGAUAAUGAGAGCAAUCAAGUGCCUUAAGGGUGUUCGGUGGAUGCCUUGGCGCUGAGAGGCGAUGAAGGACGUGCUACGCUGCGAUAAGCCGUGGGGAGCUGCGAAGAAGCUUUGAUCCGCGGAUUUCCGAAUGG